AUGUUAUCAAGAAAGGUGGAGGGAAUAGACCCGCUGAAACCUUAGCAACCCUUGUUCAAAUUAAACUAUUUGGUCAUGAAGGUGCUACAUUCUACUAAAACUUUUGUUUUUAGAUAGAUAACUA
Molecule: non-coding RNA, 124 nt
Filed under: Neotamlana nanhaiensis
Lineage: Bacteria; Pseudomonadati; Bacteroidota; Flavobacteriia; Flavobacteriales; Flavobacteriaceae
Description: Tamlana nanhaiensis SAM-I sequence
Rfam family: SAM riboswitch aptamer (S box leader)
About the family: The SAM riboswitch is found upstream of a number of genes which code for proteins involved in methionine or cysteine biosynthesis in Gram-positive bacteria. The SAM riboswitch acts at the level of transcription termination control. The predicted structure consists of a complex stem-loop region followed by a single stem loop terminator region.
Source: Rfam by way of RNAcentral